UGUUUUGGCAUUUUCCUCCACUUUUUGGUUUGGUGCCUUACUUCUGCGCAUCCUAAUAAGGCAGUGGUAAGAGCCGAAGAAGUGUGAGUGAGUGAUUUGUUCUUCUUUGUCCUCUGCUCUUAUUCUCUCUCUGUCUCACCACACUUUCAUCUUCGACUCCGAUGGCGAGCCUGUGGCGCGCGGCGACCGGCAUGUCGGACAAUUCCACCGACUACGACGGCGUCGAGUUCUGGUCCAACCCCGAGCGAACCGGCUGGCUAACCAAGCAGGGCGAGUACAUCAAGACUUGGCGCCGCCGUUGGUUCGUCCUGAAGCAGGGCAAACUCUUCUGGUUCAAGGAUUCCGCCGUCACACGCGCAUCUCGGCCACGCGGCGUCGUCCCCGUUGCCACGUGUCUCACUGUCAAAGGCGCCGAAGACAUCCUCAACAAGCCCAACGCCUUCGAGCUUUCCACGCGCUCCGACACCAUGUACUUCAUCGCUGAUUCCGAGAAGGAGAAGGAAGACUGGAUCAACUCCAUCGGUCGCUCCAUCGUCCAGCACUCCAGAUCCGUCACCGAUUCCGAGAUCGUCGAUUAUGAUAGCAACUCUGCCAAGCGCUGACCACGCUCUCUGCAAUUCACUUGCCUCUUUCGGAACUGAGUAAAUAAUUAAAGAUCCAAAGUAUUGCUUCGAGACAGUAGCAUAACAGAAGAACCCCAAUUGCUACUCCAGUAAUUAUUGCAGUGCUUGAUGAAUUACUUGACUGCUUUGGGUACUUUAUUAUGAGAAAGAAGAUUGACAAAUUAGUACUAGUAUUUCUGUCUCUAGAUAAUGGGCCAAAAAGUCAUCAUCCGAAAAUAUAAUAUUUAAUUAUUAAAAGAGAAAAAAAUGAUCUCUGAAUCUCUGAAAGAAAUAGAGAAGCUGACAAACAAACAACCGGAGAAGAUAUAUUGAUAUGAAUGGCAUCUAGCAUACCCGCCAUUAGCAAUUUCAUCAGUGCUGUUUUAAGUGUGUAUGUCACAAAUCGUUGUGGCUGGAGAACUGUUAUAACCUUGGAUAAGUUAGGUUGUUUUCUUCUAAGUUGUACAUCUAUGAUUUAUUCUAUCCUCAAGUAUUUUAUGCAUCA
Vigna unguiculata (cowpea) is the source of this 1107-nucleotide unclassified non-coding RNA. NCBI's taxonomy places the organism in Eukaryota, Viridiplantae, Streptophyta, Magnoliopsida, Fabales, Fabaceae. The record is from RefSeq and is a predicted model, not a curated record.